Molecule: non-coding RNA, 25 nt
Filed under: Mus musculus (house mouse)
Lineage: Eukaryota; Metazoa; Chordata; Mammalia; Rodentia; Muridae
Source: RNAcentral
UAAGAAGUAUUGCUCCAGGACUGAA